UCUAUCAGUUAUGUUCUGAGACUUCUUGAGGUUUCAGAGAAAUCACAAGACACUGCCUUAGCAUUUAUUUACUCACAGGAGUAGAAACGUUCUUUGUGCUUCAGCUUAGUGAAAAUGCUAAAUGCCAAGGAAGCUGAAUGAACCGAGGUAUCUGUGUCUGUUAUGUCAGUGUGGGAACAGGGAGCUCGACCAGAGAGCAGAAAUAUGGGAACAAGGAAAGAACCCUGACCUCAAGCAGCAGCAUGAACCAGCCUCUCUGAGUUAGUGCACACAUUCUGUUUGGCUCUCUUCUGUGACCAGACCGAUGCAGACAGAAAACCAAUACCCCAGCAUUUACCUACCAGAUGGCAGAGUUUCUGGGAAGAAAAAAGGCUGAAGAUGUGAUAAUCUGACCUCGCAGAAGCAGCAUCACUUCAUGUUCCAGCAAGAGCACUGCAUGCAACACAAGUGUGAGUAGAGCUCACACGGCAGCUGUGGGUGCACACUUCAAGGACGCCAUCAGAGAUGUUUCAGUUCCAGCUGACCAAGCAGGAUGCUCCUUCCCAGCUACCUCACAAUGUCUUUUCACACAACUGGUCAUCCAGGGAGAAACCCCUUUGUAUUGAAGCAGGUGGUUCCUUAAUCAGUUGGUAACAAACUCAAAAAUACAAGUCUUCCUAAAGCAUCUUGCACUGCUAGUAUGAACCAGACAGCGUAAAUCUCAUGCUUUGAGCAUGCUUUGAGAUGUGCAGCUCAGAAAACAACUGAAAACACAGCCAAAUCAGUAGUUUUGCUUCAGAGAAAUCACAUUUCUGGGUCUGAUUUUGUCCUUACAAUAGAUUUAAGAGAAUGUACAAUUACUGCGUCAAUUAAGUUCACUUUCCCUGCUAAUGCCUGUCUGGAAAGAGGUUUUCACAGGCCAACAGAAAAGGAAAAUGUUUCUACAGAUCCAAAGGUUCUUCCCACUAACAACAUUAAUGCCAUGUUCACUGUUAGUUCAGAAGCAUAUGAGAUGACGGGACAUGGAAAGCUGAGCAUUCAAAAUUCUGCCACUAGUAGGUAGAAAUAAAUUCUUUUUAAUGUAUUUGGGGAUGCUGGAAAGAAGUUACCAAGUAGUUACUAAACUUCUACAGACAUAGAAUUUUUGCAAAUUAAAUUAGUAAUUCAGAAUUACCAUGGAUUAAAAAUACCGCUCUGUAAAGAUAAAUUGCUUAGCCCCAUUGCUUAGUUUUCUAGUCAUUUUUUAACUGCUGCUAAUAAUUCACUAAGCCUUAAAAAACCCUAACAUAUUCUAACCUGUGAGUCAACAAAAAUCUACACAGGGAAACUAAAAACCCAUGAGGCCAAACUAAAAAGGGAAAAUGUUUCUACAGAUUCAAAGAUUCUUUCCACUAACAAUGUUAAUGUCAAGUUCAAUACCAUUGCUAAGACACACAUUCUCUCUGUCUUCUCUAUGAAAUAUAAUUUGUGCAUGUCAACAGGAAGGACCUUAGAAAAAAUUUUUAGGAAAAAUGAUUAGGAAAAUUGUUUUUUCUUAAUGAGUGAUGUGUGCUACUUCUGCAAUGGGAGUUGGGUGCUGCAGUGCCCUGCUACUCUUGGACAGUGACAUUAAGCUCACUAGAAGAAAAUCCUGGAAUGACUGCAACAUUUUUGCUUAUUAGAAGAGGAACAGCUUCCAUGACAAGAAAUAUAUAUUGGUAGUCAACUGGAAAACCACAAAGAAGAUACUAAUGCUUACCAAACUCACACUGGCAGGCUUUUUUCCAGUGAGACUAUAUAUUACUAGCAGGUGUUGCAAAACACAGCAAAGAAUUUACUUUUAAUAAAAUUUCUUUCAACAACAACAAUUUGGUGUACAAGUACCCAAGCAACCCAAACAAUCAACUGAUAAAUCAGAUUAAUCUUUUUAAUGACCAGAAAUAAAAACCCUGAAAAACUUA
Passer domesticus (house sparrow) is the source of this 1919-nucleotide long non-coding RNA. RefSeq lists it as uncharacterized. The transcript has 2 exons. The record is from RefSeq and is a predicted model, not a curated record. NCBI's taxonomy places the organism in Eukaryota, Metazoa, Chordata, Aves, Passeriformes, Passeridae.